GACGAACGCUGGCGGCGUGCUUAACACAUGCAAGUCGAACGGAAAGGCCCUGCUUUUGUGGGGUGCUCGAGUGGCGAACGGGUGAGUAACACGUGAGUAACCUGCCCUUGACUUUGGGAUAACUUCAGGAAACUGGGGCUAAUACCGGAUAGGAGCUCCUGCUGCAUGGUGGGGGUUGGAAAGUUUCGGCGGUUGGGGAUGGACUCGCGGCUUAUCAGCUUGUUGGUGGGGUAGUGGCUUACCAAGGCUUUGACGGGUAGCCGGCCUGAGAGGGUGACCGGCCACAUUGGGACUGAGAUACGGCCCGGACUCCUACGGGAGGCAGCAGGGGGGAAUAUUGCACAAUGGGCGGAAGCCUGAUGCAGCAACGCCGCGUGCGGGAUGACGGCCUUCGGGUUGUAAACCGCUUUCGCCUGUGACGAAGCGUGGGUGACGGUAAUGGGUAAAGAAGCACCGGCUAACUACGUG
RNAcentral lists this ribosomal RNA (468 nucleotides) under uncultured bacterium. Its description in RNAcentral is "partial 16S ribosomal RNA". It matches the Rfam family "Bacterial small subunit ribosomal RNA", at positions 28 to 507 of the family's 1533-position model. The record is from RNAcentral.